UACGUAGGGGGCGAGCGUUGUCCGGAGUUACUGGGCGUAAAGCGCACGUAGGCGGUCUGCUAAGUUCGGAGUGACAGUCACCAGCUUAACUGGUGAAGGACUUUGAAAACUGGAGGACUUGAGAGCGAAAGAGGGACAUGGAAUUCCGGGUGGAGCAGUGAAAUGCGUAGAGAUCCGGAGGAACACCAAAGGCGAAGGCAGUGUCCUGGCUCGUUUCUGACGCUGAGGUGCGAAAGCCAGGGGAGCGAACGGG
Molecule: ribosomal RNA, 253 nt
Filed under: uncultured bacterium
Lineage: Bacteria
Description: partial 16S ribosomal RNA
Rfam family: Bacterial small subunit ribosomal RNA
Source: RNAcentral